This 2901-nucleotide ribosomal RNA is filed under the name Escherichia coli. RNAcentral describes it as "bacterial LSU rRNA". It matches the Rfam family "Bacterial large subunit ribosomal RNA". RNAcentral also lists the same sequence under 1 other name. The record is from RNAcentral. Lineage: Bacteria; Pseudomonadati; Pseudomonadota; Gammaproteobacteria; Enterobacterales; Enterobacteriaceae.
UUAAGCGACUAAGCGUACACGGUGGAUGCCCUGGCAGUCAGAGGCGAUGAAGGACGUGCUAAUCUGCGAUAAGCGUCGGUAAGGUGAUAUGAACCGUUAUAACCGGCGAUUUCCGAAUGGGGAAACCCAGUGUGUUUCGACACACUAUCAUUAACUGAAUCCAUAGGUUAAUGAGGCGAACCGGGGGAACUGAAACAUCUAAGUACCCCGAGGAAAAGAAAUCAACCGAGAUUCCCCCAGUAGCGGCGAGCGAACGGGGAGCAGCCCAGAGCCUGAAUCAGUGUGUGUGUUAGUGGAAGCGUCUGGAAAGGCGCGCGAUACAGGGUGACAGCCCCGUACACAAAAAUGCACAUACUGUGAGCUCGAUGAGUAGGGCGGGACACGUGGUAUCCUGUCUGAAUAUGGGGGGACCAUCCUCCAAGGCUAAAUACUCCUGACUGACCGAUAGUGAACCAGUACCGUGAGGGAAAGGCGAAAAGAACCCCGGCGAGGGGAGUGAAAAAGAACCUGAAACCGUGUACGUACAAGCAGUGGGAGCACGCUUAGGCGUGUGACUGCGUACCUUUUGUAUAAUGGGUCAGCGACUUAUAUUCUGUAGCAAGGUUAACCGAAUAGGGGAGCCGAAGGGAAACCGAGUCUUAACUGGGCGUUAAGUUGCAGGGUAUAGACCCGAAACCCGGUGAUCUAGCCAUGGGCAGGUUGAAGGUUGGGUAACACUAACUGGAGGACCGAACCGACUAAUGUUGAAAAAUUAGCGGAUGACUUGUGGCUGGGGGUGAAAGGCCAAUCAAACCGGGAGAUAGCUGGUUCUCCCCGAAAGCUAUUUAGGUAGCGCCUCGUGAAUUCAUCUCCGGGGGUAGAGCACUGUUUCGGCAAGGGGGUCAUCCCGACUUACCAACCCGAUGCAAACUGCGAAUACCGGAGAAUGUUAUCACGGGAGACACACGGCGGGUGCUAACGUCCGUCGUGAAGAGGGAAACAACCCAGACCGCCAGCUAAGGUCCCAAAGUCAUGGUUAAGUGGGAAACGAUGUGGGAAGGCCCAGACAGCCAGGAUGUUGGCUUAGAAGCAGCCAUCAUUUAAAGAAAGCGUAAUAGCUCACUGGUCGAGUCGGCCUGCGCGGAAGAUGUAACGGGGCUAAACCAUGCACCGAAGCUGCGGCAGCGACACUAUGUGUUGUUGGGUAGGGGAGCGUUCUGUAAGCCUGUGAAGGUGUACUGUGAGGUAUGCUGGAGGUAUCAGAAGUGCGAAUGCUGACAUAAGUAACGAUAAAGCGGGUGAAAAGCCCGCUCGCCGGAAGACCAAGGGUUCCUGUCCAACGUUAAUCGGGGCAGGGUGAGUCGACCCCUAAGGCGAGGCCGAAAGGCGUAGUCGAUGGGAAACAGGUUAAUAUUCCUGUACUUGGUGUUACUGCGAAGGGGGGACGGAGAAGGCUAUGUUGGCCGGGCGACGGUUGUCCCGGUUUAAGCGUGUAGGCUGGUUUUCCAGGCAAAUCCGGAAAAUCAAGGCUGAGGCGUGAUGACGAGGCACUACGGUGCUGAAGCAACAAAUGCCCUGCUUCCAGGAAAAGCCUCUAAGCAUCAGGUAACAUCAAAUCGUACCCCAAACCGACACAGGUGGUCAGGUAGAGAAUACCAAGGCGCUUGAGAGAACUCGGGUGAAGGAACUAGGCAAAAUGGUGCCGUAACUUCGGGAGAAGGCACGCUGAUAUGUAGGUGAAGUCCCUCGCGGAUGGAGCUGAAAUCAGUCGAAGAUACCAGCUGGCUGCAACUGUUUAUUAAAAACACAGCACUGUGCAAACACGAAAGUGGACGUAUACGGUGUGACGCCUGCCCGGUGCCGGAAGGUUAAUUGAUGGGGUCAGCGCAAGCGAAGCUCUUGAUCGAAGCCCCGGUAAACGGCGGCCGUAACUAUAACGGUCCUAAGGUAGCGAAAUUCCUUGUCGGGUAAGUUCCGACCUGCACGAAUGGCGUAAUGAUGGCCAGGCUGUCUCCACCCGAGACUCAGUGAAAUUGAACUCGCUGUGAAGAUGCAGUGUACCCGCGGCAAGACGGAAAGACCCCGUGAACCUUUACUAUAGCUUGACACUGAACAUUGAGCCUUGAUGUGUAGGAUAGGUGGGAGGCUUUGAAGUGUGGACGCCAGUCUGCAUGGAGCCGACCUUGAAAUACCACCCUUUAAUGUUUGAUGUUCUAACGUUGACCCGUGAUCCGGGUUGCGGACAGUGUCUGGUGGGUAGUUUGACUGGGGCGGUCUCCUCCUAAAGAGUAACGGAGGAGCACGAAGGUUGGCUAAUCCUGGUCGGACAUCAGGAGGUUAGUGCAAUGGCAUAAGCCAGCUUGACUGCGAGCGUGACGGCGCGAGCAGGUGCGAAAGCAGGUCAUAGUGAUCCGGUGGUUCUGAAUGGAAGGGCCAUCGCUCAACGGAUAAAAGGUACUCCGGGGAUAACAGGCUGAUACCGCCCAAGAGUUCAUAUCGACGGCGGUGUUUGGCACCUCGAUGUCGGCUCAUCACAUCCUGGGGCUGAAGUAGGUCCCAAGGGUAUGGCUGUUCGCCAUUUAAAGUGGUACGCGAGCUGGGUUUAGAACGUCGUGAGACAGUUCGGUCCCUAUCUGCCGUGGGCGCUGGAGAACUGAGGGGGGCUGCUCCUAGUACGAGAGGACCGGAGUGGACGCAUCACUGGUGUUCGGGUUGUCAUGCCAAUGGCACUGCCCGGUAGCUAAAUGCGGAAGAGAUAAGUGCUGAAAGCAUCUAAGCACGAAACUUGCCCCGAGAUGAGUUCUCCCUGACUCCUUGAGAGUCCUGAAGGAACGUUGAAGACGACGACGUUGAUAGGCCGGGUGUGUAAGCGCAGCGAUGCGUUGAGCUAACCGGUACUAAUGAACCGUGAGGCUUAACCUU